AAGCGAUUUAUUUGUGUAGCUCAUUAUACAUGCAGAUUCCGAUGUUUACGUACGUAAAGAUCGGAAUCUGCAUGUAUAAUGAGCAACACAAAUAAAUCGCUU
Paramuricea clavata is the source of this 102-nucleotide non-coding RNA. The record is from the annotation of a GenBank genome assembly. Lineage: Eukaryota; Metazoa; Cnidaria; Anthozoa; Malacalcyonacea; Plexauridae.